GCUACUUUUGCAAACAUGUUAAUAGCAGGAUGAGUCCUGGGACUCUGGUGUGUGGYUUUCAGUCCUCUCCUGGCAAAGCAGGAGAUCAGAGCAGUGCGGGGUAGGUGCAGGGGUCUGGGCCACUGGGUGUUCUCAGAGGAGCAGUGGAAAGAUUGGCUGUUACAAAGUUCUUUUCCCUCAGAGAUGCAGAGGAAGCACACAGAAAGUGGAACUAGGUCACRUUAGUGAGUAUGAAAGAACGGCACAAGCAUGGAGGAACAACAUGAAGAUGUGUGGACACCGGUGGGACCGUGAAUUCAGUCCUUUGUUUCCAGCAAGCACACAGCUGGAAUGAACCAGUUAUUAGCGUUCAGCCCGUGCCACCUGGACUGGCUGCYUUGCCCAUGUGGCACAAGUGGCAGAGUCCCCAGCACCUCAGUGCACUGUCCCUCUCUCACAUCGUGCCUUGGAUCUGCCUGUUCUGUCUCCAGCCCUAAGUGUCUGGCACCAGAGUGCUGAGAAAUACCAGGCCAGGCAGAGCUGCAGGUGUGAAACCCCUCCAGCUUGUCA
Molecule: long non-coding RNA, 549 nt
Organism: Malurus melanocephalus (red-backed fairy wren)
Lineage: Eukaryota; Metazoa; Chordata; Aves; Passeriformes; Maluridae
Exons: 3
Source: RefSeq, a predicted model, not a curated record